CCUACGGGAGGCAGCAGUGGGGAAUAUUGCACAAUGGGGGCAACCCUGACCCAGCGACGCCGCGUGAGUGAAGAAGGCUUUCGGUUUGUAAACUUCUUUUCUCAGGGAAGAAAAUCAUGACAGUUCCUCAAGAAUCCGCGGCUACUAACUACGUACCCGCCGCGGCGGUACUACGUAGGGGGCAAGCGUUAUCCGGAUGUAUUGGGUGUAAGGGGAGCGUAGGCGGGAAGGCAAGUCAGAGGUGAAAGGUCAGGGCUCAACCCUGAGACUGCUCUUGAAACUGGUAGGAUUGAGUGCUGGAGAGGUAAGUGGAAUUCCGAGUGUAGCGGUGAAAUGCGUAGAUAUAAGGAGGAACACCAGUGGCGAAGGCGGAUUGCUGGACAGUAACUGACGUUGAGGCUCGAAAGCGUGGGGAGCAAACAGGAUUAGAUACCCCAGUAGUC
Molecule: ribosomal RNA, 443 nt
Filed under: uncultured bacterium
Lineage: Bacteria
Description: partial 16S ribosomal RNA
Rfam family: Bacterial small subunit ribosomal RNA
Source: RNAcentral